GCACCAGUGGCGGAAUUGGCAGACGCGUAUGAUUCAGGUUCAUAUGGGGCGACUCGUGCAGGUUCAAGUCCUGUCUGGUGCACCA
Molecule: transfer RNA, 85 nt
Filed under: Erysipelotrichaceae bacterium
Lineage: Bacteria; Bacillati; Bacillota; Erysipelotrichia; Erysipelotrichales; Erysipelotrichaceae
Description: tRNA-Leu
Rfam family: tRNA
About the family: Transfer RNA (tRNA) molecules are approximately 80 nucleotides in length. Their secondary structure includes four short double-helical elements and three loops (D, anti-codon, and T loops).
Source: RNAcentral